UGCCUGUGAUGAGUUGCCAUGCUAAUACUGACACUGCAGUGACUGAGUGUAAAUGACUUAACUGAGGCGG
This is a small nucleolar RNA of Bufo gargarizans (Asiatic toad), 70 nucleotides long. NCBI's taxonomy places the organism in Eukaryota, Metazoa, Chordata, Amphibia, Anura, Bufonidae. The record is from RefSeq and is a predicted model, not a curated record.